RNAcentral lists this long non-coding RNA (249 nucleotides) under Setaria italica (foxtail millet). RNAcentral describes it as "long non-coding RNA (SITA_LNC003088)". The record is from RNAcentral. Lineage: Eukaryota; Viridiplantae; Streptophyta; Magnoliopsida; Poales; Poaceae.
AGAACUUGAGAUCCUUAGAAAAAUUGUAAAUCUUAUUUCUUCUUCCGAACACGGACACAUUAGUCUGAAAAACAAGUGACCAAAAACAGCCAAUAAUUGAAACCCUUGAAAAAAAACACGUGUGAGAAACUGAGAGUACGUUAUUGCUAAAAUUAUAAGGAGGCGUGUGAGUAUCUCUUCUUCAGAACAAACAUGAAAACUGAUAAGCUCAUGCCACAUUUUUGAAGAAAAAAAAACAAAAACCAGCGA